This 1083-nucleotide ribosomal RNA is filed under the name Triticum aestivum (bread wheat). Its description in RNAcentral is "partial small subunit ribosomal RNA". Lineage: Eukaryota; Viridiplantae; Streptophyta; Magnoliopsida; Poales; Poaceae. The record is from RNAcentral.
AUGGCGGCGGCGCUGCCGCCGGCCAAGUGCCGGGGGCAUGGAGAGAGGUUGGAUGCUGGUGAGUUGGGUGGCCAUUCCUUCGUGGACUGGAGCAUCUUCAAGCGGAGGGGGAGGGAGAUCCUUCGACGGGCGCAAGAUCGUGAGCUGUGUUUGCGGCGGAUGAAGGCCAAAGCAGAUGCUUUCUUCAAUUCGUCUCCAACUCAAGAGAAAAUCAAAGGAGGAGGGGAGGGGAUUGCUCCAACGACUUCAUUGGGAGGGGAAUCCGGCCUUGAUCCCGCCUUCAGAGAUGUAAAUCGGGGGAAUAAAGGUCAGUUUUGCCCGUCGGUUUCCCUUGGUAUUACUUCAGAUUUGAAGAUUAAUGGAAACGGACAGCAAGGUAUGAGUAAUUGGGAUGAUAAUUUUGGUGAUUUGGAUGCGGAAUUUGGGGAAGACAAACUGUAUUUCAGGAGAGGGAUCAAAGGGACUUUUCACAAACCUGUUCUUGCCGCUGUUCGCCCGCUCUCUGUUUCUGUCUCUGUGUUUCAGGAACCUAUGGGUGACCAAGGAGGGAAAAGUAUGGAGGUGAACGGCAUUGGGGCCGGUCAGGAGACUCGUCUAGACUCGCCGUCUCCGGCUGCGGGUCUCCCUGUUGCGGGUGCCUCCGAUCAUGCUGGCCAUGGGGUGACAGUCUCGCCUCCUUCAGUCCCUGAUGUUCAGGGAGCGCGGGCGGCUCCUGCUAUGUUCCAAGGGACGGCGGUGGUGGGAGGGCCGUGGGGCUUGGUCCUCUCCGUCAUGCCUUCGGCCUCCGUUGGCUUUGCAUCAGCGGCGGCGGAUCCUCCAUUGCUUCGGAGGGCAGGCAAGAGCAAGAUGUUCGUGGGUCAAAGAACUGGCCACCGUCCGAUCGUCAUCAACAUGGAAGCUGCCCUGCGUGCGGUGGCGGGGAAACUCCGGUGGCUCGUGUGCUGUCGCCGUACCCGAUCGACCCCAAGGCAGUCGUCGGCGACCUCCGUGGCCCAUGGAAGUUGCGUGGCAGUGCAGUGGCUCAGAGGGUCGAUUGCAAGGACGGCCGGUUCGUCAUCACUUUCUCGGAUGAGGGAGACCUAA